UCAAGUGCCAGCAUCAUCAUGAUCCAGUGAACAAGAAGCGGUGCGUCGACUUCUGCAUACGGUGGCAGCUAGCGCUACCGUUUGACGCUGCGGAGGAGGGAGCCACCGCUGGCGACGACAGCCUCCACGGUAGCCGAGCUAUGUGCGAGCUCAAGUGCCAGCAUCAUCAUGAUCCAGUGAACAAGAAGCGGUGCGUUGACUUCUGCAUACGGUGGCAGCUAGCGCUACCAUUUGAUGCUGCGGAGGUGGCUCAGGGAGCCACCGCGGGCGAGGACAGCCUCCACGGUAGCCGAGCUAUGUGCGAGCUCAAGUGCCAGCAUCAUCAUGAUCCAGUGAACAAGAAGCGGUGCGUCGACUUCUGCAUACGGUGGCAGCUAGCGCUACCGUUUGACGCGGUGGAGGAGGGAGCCACCGCGGGCAAAGACAGCCUCCACGGUAGCCGAGCUAUGUGCGAGCUCAAGUGCCAGCAUCAUCAUGAUCCAGUGAACAAGAAGCGGUGCGUCGACUUCUGCAUACGGUGGCAGCUAGCA
This 530-nucleotide long non-coding RNA is filed under the name Setaria viridis. Its description in RNAcentral is "long non-coding RNA (SVIR_LNC009782)". Lineage: Eukaryota; Viridiplantae; Streptophyta; Magnoliopsida; Poales; Poaceae. The record is from RNAcentral.